AAAGUCAUACUUUCAAUCCUCCAGAAUAGAUUACUUCUGAUUUGAAAGGAUACAUUUCUUAGGGAAAUCAGUGCAUUGGUUACAUGAAAACUGUGUGACAGCCUUGGAAGUCUGAAAGAGCAGGAGAGAGGCUAAGCACACACAUAUUGUGAUUUUAGGAAUCUCAAGGUGAGAAGAAACAUCAGAAGCAGUUGAGAGACCAGGACGUGGGUCCUCAAAGGAUGAACAGAAGUUCUUUUGGAUAACAUUUUAAAAUGUUUCCUCCAGAGUCAUCUGCCUCAUUAACAAUGGUUUGAGUCUCAAGAGUCUCUCUUCGAUUUUACAAACAUGAAUUGUUGUUCUGCUAUAAAUGCAUGCUGCUCUAGUCCUUCAAUAAGCCCACAACAUGUUUUCACCA
This 397-nucleotide long non-coding RNA is filed under the name Pan troglodytes (chimpanzee). Its description in RNAcentral is "lincRNA". The record is from RNAcentral. Lineage: Eukaryota; Metazoa; Chordata; Mammalia; Primates; Hominidae.